This 730-nucleotide ribosomal RNA is filed under the name uncultured bacterium. RNAcentral describes it as "bacterial SSU rRNA". It matches the Rfam family "Bacterial small subunit ribosomal RNA", at positions 771 to 1501 of the family's 1533-position model. The record is from RNAcentral.
AACAGGAUUAGAUACCCUGGUAGUCCACGCCGUAAACGAUGUCGACUUGGAGGUUGUUCCCUUGAGGAGUGGCUUCCGGAGCUAACGCGUUAAGUCGACCGCCUGGGGAGUACGGCCGCAAGGUUAAAACUCAAAUGAAUUGACGGGGGCCCGCACAAGCGGUGGAGCAUGUGGUUUAAUUCGAUGCAACGCGAAGAACCUUACCUACUCUUGACAUCCAGCGAACUUUCCAGAGAUGGAUUGGUGCCUUCGGGAACGCUGAGACAGGUGCUGCAUGGCUGUCGUCAGCUCGUGUUGUGAAAUGUUGGGUUAAGUCCCGCAACGAGCGCAACCCUUAUCCUUUGUUGCCAGCGAUUCGGUCGGGAACUCAAAGGAGACUGCCGGUGAUAAACCGGAGGAAGGUGGGGAUGACGUCAAGUCAUCAUGGCCCUUACGAGUAGGGCUACACACGUGCUACAAUGGCGCGUACAAAGAGAAGCGACCUCGCGAGAGCAAGCGGACCUCACAAAGUGCGUCGUAGUCCGGAUCGGAGUCUGCAACUCGACUCCGUGAAGUCGGAAUCGCUAGUAAUCGUGGAUCAGAAUGCCACGGUGAAUACGUUCCCGGGCCUUGUACACACCGCCCGUCACACCAUGGGAGUGGGUUGCAAAAGAAGUAGGUAGCUUAACCUUCGGGAGGGCGCUUACCACUUUGUGAUUCAUGACUGGGGUGAAGUCGUAACAAGGUAACC